This 350-nucleotide ribosomal RNA is filed under the name Escherichia coli. RNAcentral describes it as "partial 23S ribosomal RNA". It matches the Rfam family "Bacterial large subunit ribosomal RNA", at positions 1601 to 1932 of the family's 2925-position model. Lineage: Bacteria; Pseudomonadati; Pseudomonadota; Gammaproteobacteria; Enterobacterales; Enterobacteriaceae. The record is from RNAcentral.
CCUGCUUCCAGGAAAAGCCUCUAAGCAUCAGGUAACAUCAAAUCGUACCCCAAACCGACACAGGUGGUCAGGUAGAGAAUACCAAGGCGCUUGAGAGAACUCGGGUGAAGGAACUAGGCAAAAUGGUGCCGUAACUUCGGGAGAAGGCACGCUGAUAUGUAGGUGAAGUCCCUCGCGGAUGGAGCUGAAAUCAGUCGAAGAUACCAGCUGGCUGCAACUGUUUAUUAAAAACACAGCACUGUGCAAACACGAAAGUGGACGUAUACGGUGUGACGCCUGCCCGGUGCCGGAAGGUUAAUUGAUGGGGUUAGCGCAAGCGAAGCUCUUGAUCGAAGCCCCGGUAAACGGCG